GCGCUCUUGGUCUAGUGGCUAUGAUUGCCGCCUUCCAAGCGGCAGAGCGGGGUUCAAUUCCCCGAGGGCGCA
This 72-nucleotide transfer RNA is filed under the name Cladosporium sphaerospermum UM 843. RNAcentral describes it as "tRNA-Gly (TCC) (tRNA-Gly-TCC-1-1, tRNA-Gly-TCC-1-2)". It matches the Rfam family "tRNA". From Rfam's summary of the family: Transfer RNA (tRNA) molecules are approximately 80 nucleotides in length. Their secondary structure includes four short double-helical elements and three loops (D, anti-codon, and T loops). Lineage: Eukaryota; Fungi; Ascomycota; Dothideomycetes; Cladosporiales; Cladosporiaceae. The record is from RNAcentral.